AUAUAUUUAUUGUGAUUGGAAGGGGGAAGGGAGACAGCGGAAAGAUCGAGGCAGAAGCUGCCACCCCUUGCCUGGCUCCAGCCUGGAUCAAACUGAGCAUUUCUGUCACCACGUGCUCUCAGUGAAAGUGGCCACUGGCUUCCUGAGGCGGAAUUCACAGUUGAGAAUUCAGGACUAACUAGAAUUGUUUUUCCCAGAAGGGGCCCUGUCUCUCCUUAUUUUUUGCUCCUCCCUCCUUCCCCUUUUUUCAUGUUCACUUCUGUGGAAGCUGAAUAGAGAAGAGAAACCAGAUGCUGCGUUGAUCACAUUUUAAUUCUGCCCUGUCUGCCAUGCUUCCCCCACUUAGCUUAUCCACAGUUCAAAGCGAUCGCAGACAGAACUCACUCCCCUCUCUGCCUCCCUGAUGUACGAGUCUGUCUGGCACGAGGUUUAUUUCAUUGUCGACCGUGGAACUUUUGUAGGAAUAUCUGUCAUGUGUCUCAGAGCUGGGGUUGAAAGACCCUGAUAAAAAUAGUUUCCUGCAGCGGACUGAUAUGGGAGGGAUUUCUCACAUCUAAACGGCUAAAAAAAGGAGGCACGUUUAGUCACAUCUGGUGACAUUCUCGUCUGACUGGAGAGCAGGGUCUGUGUAAGCAUCUGCACAGAUUUAAAAAUGCAGGCUGCAUCCCCAAACAAAUGGCUUGGUCGGAUACAAAUGGCCGAAACACAUUGUCAUGGGGAAGAUCAACAAAAGCACUGAUCCCUGGGCUGAAUUUCAAUUCUGGUCAACGCAGGGCCAGUCCGUCCAACCCAUGACUUUUGUUCUCUCAUCCUUGACUAUCGGAUAACAGCAUUUAUAGAGCCAACUUGAUUUCAGCUCUUUUCCUCUACACUUGACCUGUGAGUGCUGCUCUGUUCUUGGCACCUGUGGGCGGGAGACCCUUUCCAACGGCUACAACAGAGUAAGGAACCCCCCCCCCCAUUCUUUGUGUCCUGUUUGUUCCCUGCAGCCCAUAGUUCUUCACAACUGCAAAUUGUUCUCAGCCUGUCUUGACUUUGACAGGAACGAUUUUAUUACUGGUAGCACGGAUAUGACACAUGACAAUAUAAGGCAAGGUGUAGAUACACAAAAUAAAUUUAUAGAGAUCACUCAGCCUGAAGGCAUCUGACCACCCUUACCCAGCCUGUUCCUGCUAAAUUUUUCCUUCUUCAGCUGUUCAGGAAUUGCCAAGGCCAAUUGUCAAAUUCUUUUUACCUAGCUACCAGAAAUAAGUAUUUUGCUGAAAUUUCAAGUCUUAAUGGACAAAACACUUCAUUUUUCUGUUUUCUACCUCUUGCCAGAUGUAUCAUUUUUGGAGAACCAGAGCUCAUUUAUCUCCAAGGGAGAAAAAAAGUCAUUCCAUAUUUACUGGUUAGCAAAUUACCACUGAGAGUAAAAAUACAGAGGAACUCUCACUCUGUUAAUUAAUGGGUUAUUCGCCUUGGCUGAACCCUGGCUGAUGGACAGCCACUGUUCCCUUCAAGUUGGCUUAAUUUUCUCUCGUUGGUUUUUGUUUCCUUGAAGCAAGAAGAUUUCUUGGUUCUUUCUUCGUUUGAUUCUGCUUUUGAGGACUGUGCCUGUAUCCUUUGGGUCUGUUUGUUUUGUAGGCCGGUCCAAUUAAACCCCUAGCAUUUAUUGAGGAACCUGUCGUAUCGGGUACUGCGGAUUCCUCUGAAAUCCUCCCGGCAUGGAAGUUGGAUGGAGUCACUUGUGCUAACUCUCCUAACCCAUUGGUUUUCUGCUGUGCAGAUGGGGCAUGAAAUAGCCAUCUAUCAAGAGAUAGCGCCAUGUCAGAAACUGAGGCUGUGUUCUGUAGUCACGGAGACCUGGGCCAUACAGCAGUGCGAUUUGGGGCACCUUCCUGUCUCUUCUCACUAUAGAUCCUGAUGGGAACAGCAGAACUGUCUGUUCUUCUGUUCUUUGCUGUUCUCCAUAACAAGAUGGAGCCAAACAGGCAGUGAAGAGUCUGGUCUGACCACGUAAUGUUGGUACAAGUUUACAGACAGCUGUAAGAAGGGUGCUUCCUACAAGGAAAUGAUCAAAGAAAAGCCAAAAGUCCCCUUAAUAGCAUUACGCCAAUGUCAGUCUCCUGGUGCUGAUACCAUGCUGUGGUGACGUACGAUGUCACCCCCGUGGGAAGAAGAUGAAGAGGACAGGAGACAAAUUUUUGUAACUUCCCGUGGGUCGAUAGUUAUUUCAAAAUAAAACGUUUAAUGAGAAAGAGAGAGAGAGAGAGAGAGUAUGGAAUGGCAAUUGGAGAAAUGGGUGUUGGUUUUUACUUCCUGGCUGAACAAACAUUUACGUUUUGUUUGCCUCUUCCUCCCCUUUUUUGCAUCUCGAUCUUGUGAGCAGUCAGCCAUAAAAGGGCUCAUUUUUCUGUAGAAGAGAAAACGGAAGCAGAGGGGCCAAGAGAACCCCUGCCAACAUUGGGUUAGAAGGCCUACUUCCUGUCUUUCCCCACUCUCUUUACCUACACAAACUUACCUUCUGCAAUCACAGUCCCUUCGUCCUUCCUUCCCACUUGAGAGGAGAUACCUACAAGCGAGCCCCUCCACCUACACGAGAUGUCCAUCCCUUCCUUGUGUUUCCAGAGCUCAGUCCUUGUACAUAAUCGCCCCAUGUGAGUUCCUUCUAACCCUGGUUUAAUAACCACCUGUCUGGCAAUAGCUUCCAACUGUAUAUGUCUGCUCAGACUUUUACGCUGAGAUGCACACCUGUAUAUCCGACCCCUGACUAGGAAUCUCCACCUAGGUGUUUCCCAAGCCUUUCAAACUCCUUCCAAAUUAUCUUUUUCCUCCAAUGGUCCCUUAACUCUGAGAAUGUUAUCACCGUCUACCGUAUCAUCAACAGCAGAAAUGGGAGAGCCAUUCUGGACCCACACUGGUCAAAUAUGGUAGCUGCCAGCCACAUGUACUAUUCAGUACUUCAGAUACGGUCGGUGCAAAUUAAGAUGGGCUGUAAUCAUAAAGUACACACCAGAGUUAGUCCAGUAAAAAAGAAUGCACAAUAUUUCAGUAGUACUUUUUAUUGAUUUCAUGUUGAAAUGAUAGUAUUAGGGAUAUAUUGUGUUAAAUGAAUUAUUAAAAACGAGUUGUUGUUGUUUUUUAAAUGUGCUACUGAAAUAUUUAAAGUUGCAUAUGUGGCUCACAUUUGUGGCUUGCGUAUUUCGGCCAGAGAGCACUGCUCUAGACUCCUUUCUGCCUCUCAGCCACCGCCAGUUAGUCGAAGUAAUACACCAGGGACAAUAUUAAUGAAGUGCACAGGCUGAAUUUGAAUUCUGGCCCUGCCGUAUCUUGAUACAUGUGAACUUGGGCAAUUUUGUUGCCUCUUUGCUCCUGAGUUUCAUCAUACAUCAGAUGGGUAUAAUAACAGGACUUACUCCUCAGGAUCUUGCAAGUGUUAAGUGAGAUAACACGUAAAGCACUUACCCUGGAAUCAAAACCCAAUGUCAAGAGAAGGAGCACAGUCUCUCACUGUCAGAUUUCAGGCCCUCACCGUUUCUGACCACUGCAUUGGUUUGGCUGUCUGCAGUUCCACCUCGCCCUCCAGUCCUUCAUGCUGCACCAGACUGGACAUUUCCGAAUGCAAAUGUUAGCAACCCUUUCAGUGAUUCCUCCUCACCCUUGGCAUAAAGUUCAACGUCCUUGGCAGGCUGUACAAGGCCCUUCAUGAUCUGCCCCCCCACCCAAUCACCAAUCCCAUCUCACGCCAAUCCACUAUGGUUAUAAUGAACCAGAUGGUCUCCCCAACUCCUAUUUACAUGGAUCAUUCCCUCCAUCGGUGAUGUAUGUGCCCUCGACCUGUCUGCAAGGCUCAGUUUAUUUGUCAUCUCACUCCGGAAGCUCCCCCUUGUCUCUCCUGCACCUGCACCCUUCCCAGGGGGGUUAGGAACUCUCCUCUGGGCUCCUCAACCACUUGAGGUUUGGCUCAACUGAUCUCACUUGCUUGGUCAACUUGUGUGUCUUUCCAUCAAGACUGGGAGCCAGCUAAAGUCUAGGACCGCUCUCUAAUCCACUCUGGAUCCCCACGGAGCACAAUGACUGGCACAAAGUGGGGCCCAGUAGAUGUCUGCUGAGCGAAUGCAUAAAGCAUAGGAGAUAGUCCCGAGAGAGGUAAGGAGAGUGAAAGCCCAGUGAGGUCAAGCAGCAGAAAAUCUGAAGACCAGACUGAGGAGAAAUCACCACUCCUCGGCCAUGCAGACAGAGUUAGCAGAGAAAAGGGUCUGGACAAGUAGUCAGUAAUGGAGGAUUAGAAAUAAAAGAGAAUAAAAAAGAGAAGAUCAAGAGGGGAACAGAACCCCAUUUGGUACCACUGGGGGUUCAGUAGCUUCCUCUACAGUGGCCAGGAAGAGGCAAAGCUCUAGAAAAGCACAAAUCAUAUUUAAAAAUAAUAAUAAUAAAAAAAAGGAUGAUGUAUCAGCAA
Long non-coding RNA from Neofelis nebulosa (Clouded leopard), 4441 nucleotides. RefSeq lists it as uncharacterized. The record is from RefSeq and is a predicted model, not a curated record. Lineage: Eukaryota; Metazoa; Chordata; Mammalia; Carnivora; Felidae. The transcript has 2 exons.